UACGUAGGGUGCGAGCGUUAAUCGGAAUUACUGGGCGUAAAGCGUGCGCAGGCGGUUCGUUGUGUCGGCGGUGAAAUCCCCGGGCUCAACUUGGGAAUGGCCGUUGAAACUGGCGAACUGGAGUGUGGCAGAGGGGGGUGGAAUUCCGCGUGUAGCAGUGAAAUGCGUAGAGAUGCGGAGGAACACCGAUGGCGAAGGCAGCCCCCUGGGCUGACACUGACGCUCAGGCACGAAAGCGUGGGGAGCAAACAGG
RNAcentral lists this ribosomal RNA (253 nucleotides) under uncultured bacterium. RNAcentral's name for it is "partial 16S ribosomal RNA". It matches the Rfam family "Bacterial small subunit ribosomal RNA", at positions 524 to 776 of the family's 1533-position model. The record is from RNAcentral.